RNAcentral lists this unclassified non-coding RNA (363 nucleotides) under Hevea brasiliensis (rubber tree). Lineage: Eukaryota; Viridiplantae; Streptophyta; Magnoliopsida; Malpighiales; Euphorbiaceae. The record is from RNAcentral.
CUCAGCUCCCCCGCGUAGGCCCCGAUCUGCGCCUCGACGCGCGCGUUCUCGGCCUGGAGGCGCGCCGCCUCGGCGAUCAGCUCCUCCAGCCUCUGCUGCUUCCUCGCCCUGGAUCGCCUCGCCGACUCCCUGUUCGACAGCAUCCUCUUCCUCUUCCGCUCGUCGGCGCCACCGCCGCCGCCGCUGGUGUUGCUCUCCGGGCUGGAGCUCCGGCGCGAAGGCGACGACAUGGUCACAGUACGGUUCUUGUCCAAAACUUAAUCCAAGAACCGGAUCUCUUCAAGAGAUCAAAAAAAUUCCAAAGAACACAAGAAAGAAACUAGUAGGAGGAUGAAAAAGAAAUCAAGAUAUAAUCAAUUAGAG